CAAAACGACUCUCGGCAACGGAUAUCUCGGCUCUCGCAUCGAUGAAGAACGUAGCGAAAUGCGAUACUUGGUGUGAAUUGCAGAAUCCAGUGAACCAUCGAGUCUUUGAACGCAAGUUGCGCCCAAAGCCUUUUGGUUGAGGGCACGUCUGCCUGGG
Molecule: ribosomal RNA, 157 nt
Filed under: Chrysochlamys glauca
Lineage: Eukaryota; Viridiplantae; Streptophyta; Magnoliopsida; Malpighiales; Clusiaceae
Also listed under: 2 other names
Description: 5.8S ribosomal RNA
Rfam family: 5.8S ribosomal RNA
About the family: 5.8S ribosomal RNA (5.8S rRNA) is a component of the large subunit of the eukaryotic ribosome. It is transcribed by RNA polymerase I as part of the 45S precursor that also contains 18S and 28S rRNA. Functionally, it is thought that 5.8S rRNA may be involved in ribosome translocation.
Source: RNAcentral